RNAcentral lists this transfer RNA (73 nucleotides) under Stegodyphus mimosarum. It matches the Rfam family "tRNA". From Rfam's summary of the family: Transfer RNA (tRNA) molecules are approximately 80 nucleotides in length. Their secondary structure includes four short double-helical elements and three loops (D, anti-codon, and T loops). Further hydrogen bonds mediate the characteristic L-shaped molecular structure. tRNAs have two regions of fundamental functional importance: the anti-codon, which is responsible for specific mRNA codon recognition, and the 3' end, to which the tRNAs corresponding amino acid is attached (by aminoacyl-tRNA synthetases). tRNAs cope with the degeneracy of the genetic code in two manners: having more than one tRNA (with a specific anti-codon) for a particular amino acid; and 'wobble' base-pairing, i.e. permitting non-standard base-pairing at the 3rd anti-codon position. The record is from Rfam by way of RNAcentral. Lineage: Eukaryota; Metazoa; Arthropoda; Arachnida; Araneae; Eresidae.
GCCUUCGUGGUGUAGUGGUCAGCACGCUCGACGCGUAACCGAGAGGUCCAUGGUUCGACUCCUGACGAAGGCG